AGGCCCGUAGCUCAGCCCGGAUAGAGCGCCCGGACACCGUUCCUCACCCCACGCCCGCAUCGCCCGGACGCGGGCCGGAAGACGAAGGUUAUCGGGAUCCGAGGGGUGCGGGUGCGAGUCCCGCCGGGCCGU
RNAcentral lists this transfer RNA (132 nucleotides) under Methylobacterium organophilum. RNAcentral describes it as "tRNA-OTHER". Lineage: Bacteria; Pseudomonadati; Pseudomonadota; Alphaproteobacteria; Hyphomicrobiales; Methylobacteriaceae. The record is from RNAcentral. RNAcentral also lists the same sequence under 8 other names.